GAGUAAAGUUCUAGAAUNGAUAAAUUUGAUGAUGACAAAACAUCCUUUCUAUAUGUCUUGACCAAAUUACGUGCCAGCAGUCGCGGUAAUACGUAGAAGACUAGUGUUAUUCAUCUUUAGUAGGUUUAAAGGGUACCUAGACGGUAUAAUUAGUCUUAAAUAAGAAACGGUUAUGCUAGAGUUAUAUCUGAGAAGGGGAGUAUUUAUGGAGUAGAGUUGAAAUUCUUUGAUCCCAUAACGACUGGUAACGGCGAAAGCAACCUUUUAUCUAAUAACUGACGUUGAGGGACGAAGGCUCGGGUCACGAACAGGAUUAGAUACCCUAGUAGUCCAAGCAGAGAAUGAUGAAUGCCAUAGAUUAGAUGUUUAUUUAGUCUAUAAAUGAAAGUGUAAGCAUUUCACCUCAAGAGUAAUGUGGCAACGCAGGAACUGAAAUCAUUAGACCGUUUCUGAAACCAGUAGUGAAGUAUGUUAUUUAAUUCGUAAGUACGCGAAAAACCUUACCACAACUUGAAUAUUAUCUUUAUGAUAUUACAAGCGUUGCACGGCUGUCUUCAGUUAAUGUCGUGAGAUAUUGGUUAAUUCCAUUAAAUUAACGGAAACCCUUGCUUUAUUUGGUUAUAAAGCAG
RNAcentral lists this ribosomal RNA (629 nucleotides) under Hyaloscypha herbarum. Its description in RNAcentral is "SSU rRNA". It matches the Rfam family "Bacterial small subunit ribosomal RNA", at positions 423 to 1129 of the family's 1533-position model. The record is from RNAcentral. Lineage: Eukaryota; Fungi; Ascomycota; Leotiomycetes; Helotiales; Hyaloscyphaceae.